CGGGGUGAGUAAUGUAUGGGGAUCUGCCUGAUGGCGGGGGAUAACUACUGGAAACGGUAGCUAAUACCGCAUAAUGUCUGCGGACCAAAGCGGGGGACCUCCGGGCCUCGCGCCAUCAGAUGAACCCAUAUGGGAUUAGCUUGUAGGUAAGGUAACGGCUUACCCAGGCGACGAUCCCUAGCUGGUCUGAGAGGAUGAUCAGCCACACUGGGACUGAGACACGGCCCAG
RNAcentral lists this ribosomal RNA (229 nucleotides) under uncultured bacterium. RNAcentral's name for it is "partial 16S ribosomal RNA". It matches the Rfam family "Bacterial small subunit ribosomal RNA", at positions 104 to 334 of the family's 1533-position model. The record is from RNAcentral.